AGUGAACGCUGGCGGUAGGCCUAACACAUGCAAGUCGAACGGCAGCACAGUAAGAGCUUGCUCUUACGGGUGGCGAGUGGCGGACGGGUGAGGAAUACAUCGGAAUCUACUUUUUCGUGGGGGAUAACGGAGGGAAACUUACGCUAAUACCGCAUACGACCUACGGGUGAAAGCAGGGGAUCUUCGGACCUUGCGCGAUUGAAUGAGCCGAUGUCGGAUUAGCUAGUUGGCGGGGUAAAGGCCCACCAAGGCGACGAUCCGUAGCUGGUCUGAGAGGAUGAUCAGCCACACUGGAACUGAGACACGGUCCAGACUCCUACGGGAGGCAGCAGUGGGGAAUAUUGCACAAUGGGCGAAAGCUUGAUCCAGCCAUACCGCGUGGGUGAAGAAGGCCUUCGGGUUGUAAAGCCCUUUUGUUGGGAAAGAAAAGCAGCAGGUUAAUACCCCGCUGUUCUGACGGUACCCAAAGAAUAAGCACCGGCUAACUUCGUG
Molecule: ribosomal RNA, 492 nt
Filed under: uncultured bacterium
Lineage: Bacteria
Description: partial 16S ribosomal RNA
Rfam family: Bacterial small subunit ribosomal RNA
Source: RNAcentral